GAAUGAGAGCUUGACUCUUUGAAAAGGAGACAGAUGGUUUGAAUUUACCGGCAUGAAUAUUACAAGCUUCAGGUGUCCCCAGAUGCUGUAAAAAGCAACAUUAGAAAUUGGUCACAAAUAAUAUGUCCAAAGGUAUCCAGGAAAACAACGUCUUUUGCCUCUGCUACAGCAGGUAGUCCUUAAUUACAUUUUACAGACGCAGAAAUUCAGCACAAGCUGGUCAAAACAGCUGUGGGGAAGUUUCUGCUUUGAAGGAAAUAUUACCGGUGCUCAAAGAUGUCAUCAACAGAUAUUAAAGAAGAUACAUCAGAAAAUAGGCCAAGGUGCAGUGCUCUUCAGGGGCUACAAAAGCUUUAGCUCUAUGCCCUGGUGUCAAGAGGAUUAAAUGUGAAUUUCAAAGUAAAGAAUGGAUGGGGAGUCAGUGGCUUUGAGCCAAAAUCCUCCC
This is a long non-coding RNA of Neopsephotus bourkii (Bourke's parrot), 445 nucleotides long. RefSeq lists it as uncharacterized. The record is from RefSeq and is a predicted model, not a curated record. NCBI's taxonomy places the organism in Eukaryota, Metazoa, Chordata, Aves, Psittaciformes, Psittacidae. The transcript has 3 exons.